Molecule: ribosomal RNA, 433 nt
Filed under: uncultured bacterium
Lineage: Bacteria
Description: partial 16S ribosomal RNA
Rfam family: Bacterial small subunit ribosomal RNA
Source: RNAcentral
AACGAACGCUGGCGGCAUGCCUAACACAUGCAAGUCGAACGAUCCCUUCGGGGAUAGUGGCGCACGGGUGGGUAACGCGUGGGAACCUGCCCUUAGGUUCGGAAUAACUCAGAGAAAUUUGAGCUAAUACCGGAUAAUGUCUUCGGACCAAAGAUUUAUCGCCUUUGGAUGGGCCCGCGUUGGAUUAGCUAGUUGGUGGGGUAAAGGCCUACCAAGGCGACGAUCCAUAGCUGGUCUGAGAGGAUGAUCAGCCACACUGGGACUGAGACACGGCCCAGACUCCUACGGGAGGCAGCAGUGGGGAAUAUUGGACAAUGGGCGAAAGCCUGAUCCAGCAAUGCCGCGUGAGUGAUGAAGGCCUUAGGGUUGUAAAGCUCUUUUACCCGGGAUGAUAAUGACAGUACCGGGAGAAUAAGCCCCGGCUAACUCCGUG